UGGGGAAUAUUGGACAAUGGGCGCAAGCCUGAUCCAGCCAUGCCGCGUGAGUGAUGAAGGCCCUAGGGUUGUAAAGCUCUUUCACCGGUGAAGAUAAUGACGGUAACCGGAGAAGAAGCCCCGGCUAACUUCGUGCCAGCAGCCGCGGUAAUACGAAGGGGGCUAGCGUUGUUCGGAUUUACUGGGCGUAAAGCGCACGUAGGCGGACUUUUAAGUCAGGGGUGAAAUCCCGGGGCUCAACCCCGGAACUGCCUUUGAUACUGGAAGUCUUGAGUAUGGUAGAGGUGGGUGGAAUUCCGAGUGUAGAGGUGAAAUUCGUAGAUAUUCGGUGGAGCACCAGUGGCGAAGGCGGCUCACUGGACCAGUACUGACGCUGAGGUGCGAAAGCGUGGGGAGCAAACAGG
This 404-nucleotide ribosomal RNA is filed under the name Actinomycetes bacterium. Its description in RNAcentral is "Actinobacteria bacterium partial 16S ribosomal RNA". It matches the Rfam family "Bacterial small subunit ribosomal RNA", at positions 355 to 776 of the family's 1533-position model. Lineage: Bacteria; Bacillati; Actinomycetota; Actinomycetes. The record is from RNAcentral.